AAUUGCGGCCAUACCAUCCUCAACCCGCCCGAUCUCGUCUGAUCUCGGAAACUAAGCAGGGUCGGGCCUGGUUGGUAUUGGAUGGGAGACCGCCUGGGAAUACCAGGUGCUGUAAGUG
Molecule: ribosomal RNA, 118 nt
Organism: Gadus morhua (Atlantic cod)
Lineage: Eukaryota; Metazoa; Chordata; Actinopteri; Gadiformes; Gadidae
Source: Ensembl